AGUUCAUUCUUUCAGGGCCACAGAAGCGUAGAAAACUCUUUAGUCAUAAGUUGGUGGGGGUGCCAAGAGGAAAGGCACAGCAGAGAAUGCUAAGAGCCUAAGGAUGUGACUGGAGAAUCUCCUGAAGUUAUAGAUCCUGCAGGCAGGGCUGGCUUCAGGGAAGUGCAACCUGUGCAGUCGCACUGGUCCACAUGCUUGGAAGAGGCCCCUUAUUUUCACUUUGCACUGAGUCCUCAAGUUACAUGACUGGUCAGUCCUACCCCAUAAGGCAUGGAUUGCAAAGGAGAACAAAGAAUCCACGGAGGUGAUCGACUUUGAGGUGAAGCUGGGAGAGGAAGAUGAUGGUGCCAUCAACAGAAAAAGGCUUUGAUGACUCAGGCUGCCAUACUGAAGAUGCCCACAUGGCCAGGAGCUGGGACCUUUAUUCUAACAACCCUCAAGCAGCUGAAUCCUGCCAAUAAUCAUGUGAGCUUGGAUGUGGGUCCUUCCCUACUUGAACCUUCAGAUGAGACCCCAGCCCCAGCUGAUACUUUGACUGCAGCUUUGUGAGAGACCCUGAGACAGAGGACCGAGAUGAGCCAUGCCUUGGCUGCUGGCCCACAAAAACUGUGAGAUCAAAAUGAUGUGUUGUUUUAAGCCAUUAACUGUGUGGUAACUUGUCAAACAGUGUAUUAGGCCAUUUGUGUUGCUACAAAGGAAUACCCGAGGCUGAGUAGUUUAUUAAGAAAAGAGGUUUAAUUGGCUUAUGGUUCUGCAGGCAAUAUGAGAAGCAUGGUGCCAAUAUCUGCUUGGCUUCUGGUGUGGCCUCAAGAAGCUUACAAUCACAGCGGAAGGUGACAGGGAGCCAGCAUGUUACAUGGCAAGAACAGGAACAAGAGAGAGGAGAGGGAGCCAGGUUCUUUUAAACAGCCAGCUCUCCAGUGAAUCAGCAGAGCAAGAACUCACGCAUUGCCAUAGGGAGGGCACCAAGGCAUUCAUGAGGGACCCACUCCCAUGACCUAAAUACCCCCACAAGGCCCAGCUUCCAACAUGGGGAUUACAUUUUAAGAUGAAACUUGGAGGGGACAAAACAUCCAAGCCAUAUUCCAUAGCAACAGGUAACCAAUACACCACAUGUACCAAAGCCUUGGUCCAAGGCCCUGUCUUCAUAGAGCCCAGGCUGUCCUGCGGUCUGCACUGAGCUCACCCUCCAGGAGGCAUACUAGAGAUCUUUGCACCUCCUUCUCCUCUUACCCACAGGACAGAUAUCUUGGCCAGUCUUUCUGAAUGCCCAGCUGUCCGAGGAUGCCUUUCUUUGCUUUUCCCCUCUGUAUGGGGGCUGGAGGCAGGUGAACCCCUUGAUGAACAGGGUCUCUCUCCUGGGUUUUGCCCAGUUGCAGUUCACACCCCCUUCCCCAUGCUUUGUGCCUGUCUCCCAGUUGCUGGGUGGUCAGGGGAGACUCUGCAGAAGGGGCAGGUGCCUGUGCCUCUGGAUGGUUCCACUGAAGAACUGAUGUAAGGGAUGACGUGUGGGGACUGUAGGGCUUCCAGGAUCAGGAAGCGGGUGAUGGAAGCACCUAGGCAAUAUGGCCCCAAGCUCCUGAAGACCACCUUCUCCCGUCUCCCUCCUCUCAGCCCCAAAACAACAGACAAGCAAACCUACCCUGAAACAGUGUCGUCACUGCACGAGGCACUGUGCCCAUGCAAUAUCCCAUCCGGUGCCAGCCUUGGAGGGAGGUGUCUUCAUGCCCCUUUAACAGAUGGGAAAGGCAGCAUGGUAAGUGACUGCUGGGAAGUCACAGGGCAGCAUUCGGCCCAGGUCUGUCACACUCCAAAGUCUGCGAGCUCUUCAGAUUCCACUUGGAAGGCUCCUCCCCUUGGCCUAAUGUCUCAGGCACACAGCAGCCAACUCAAGACGAGGGUCCCUAUUUGGGGAGUCUGGAUCCGUGUUUCGCAGUGUGGUCAGUCCAUGGGCCAAUCGCAUCAGCAUCAGUGUCUCCUGGGGUCUUGCCAGCAACCACAGAUCCCCAGGCUCACCCCAGACCUGCUGUCUCAGCCAGCUAGGGCUGCUGUAACUACAGACCACAGACUGGGGCUUAAACAACAGGCAUUGAUUUUCUCAUUGUUCUGGAGGCUGAAAGCCUGAGAUCAGGGAGCCAGCAUGGUCGGGGGUUGGGGAUGCUCUCUUCCAAGGUUGUAGAGGGCUGCCUUCUCAAUAUGUCCUCACAUGGUGGGGUGGGGUGGGAUGGGGAGGGAGAGAGAGAGAG
This 2246-nucleotide long non-coding RNA is filed under the name Homo sapiens (human). RNAcentral's name for it is "long non-coding RNA NONHSAT176558.1". The record is from RNAcentral. Lineage: Eukaryota; Metazoa; Chordata; Mammalia; Primates; Hominidae.